Molecule: ribosomal RNA, 293 nt
Filed under: uncultured bacterium
Lineage: Bacteria
Description: partial 16S ribosomal RNA
Rfam family: Bacterial small subunit ribosomal RNA
Source: RNAcentral
GUGUCAGCAGCCGCGGUAACACGUAGGCACCAAGCGUUGUCCGGAUUUAUUGGGCGUAAAGAGCUCGUAGGCGGUUCAGUAAGUCAGGUGUGAAAUCUUUGGGCUUAACCCAAAGCGUGCACUUGAUACUGCUGUGACUUGAGUUCGGUAGGGGAGUGGGGAAUUCCUAGUGUAGCGGUGAAAUGCGCAGAUAUUAGGAGGAACACCGGUGGCGAAGGCGCCACUCUGGGCCGAAACUGACGCUGAGGAGCGAAAGCGUGGGUAGCAAACAGGAUUAGAUACCCGCGUAGUCC